This 1085-nucleotide long non-coding RNA is filed under the name Oryctolagus cuniculus (rabbit). Its description in RNAcentral is "lncRNA (ENSOCUG00000035589.1)". Lineage: Eukaryota; Metazoa; Chordata; Mammalia; Lagomorpha; Leporidae. The record is from RNAcentral.
GCCCAGGGGCCCCAGAUCUUCCUUCCUGCCUUCCUUCACUCACUCAACACAGGUCUCCUGGUUGCCUCUCCGCUGCACUCUGCUGUCGCCAGCGCGCCUUGACUUUGUUCCUUUUUUCCAGGCUGAGAGCGAUGGUCCCACCCCAAUCUCCCGAAUGCCAAGCCUGGGCAAGGGAGUGGAAAAUCCUUUGAAAUUCCCAAUAAAUAAAUAAAAAUAACUUGGAGAGCUUGUCGUCAUAGAGACCAAAGGCUUGGUUGGUCGUCAUGGCAACCCUGGGACAGCCGCUGCCUCAAGUGAUCUGCAUGGUUGAGAAAGAAGGGCCGCGGGGUGGAGAGACAGGGCCCCAGCUACAGGGUGAGCGCCGGCGCCAGCUGAUUCUCCAGGCGGGGGCAGAGCAAGGGCAGAGUGAGUUGGGGGUGCAAGGGGAGAGCACACUGUCUUCUGGAACUUUCUUUCCCAGCAAGCUGCCACGCUUUUCAUCAGCAUCAUCCUGAGAGGCGCCUGAAGCUCCGCUUCCCCGGCCCCGGGGCUGUGAGGGGAGCCAGGCCUCCUCCCUGCUCAGCUGCCUGGGCAUCUCCAUGACAACACCGGCCCCUCCCCUCCGUGGGAGCCAGCCCCUGCCUGGGACCUCAGGGAGUUGCCCAGGUGGCGACCUACUGAGGACGAGGAGCCCACCUUUCCUGUUUCCCCCGCAUGCCCAUCGGAGCCCAAGGGAUGGCAGAAGCUCAGGAAAACAAGAGUCAUGGAGAAGCCCAUUCCCUGGGUCUCGGCCCGGCUGAGACGCCGGCUGCCUGGACUCAUCGCCUCCCAAGCUUGAACUUGACCCUGCCCUGCUCUCUGAACUUCAAGGCAGGACGCUCCCCGGCCCUUGCAGUGCCCGCUUCCCCUGCAGUGCUGGCCAACAGCAACAGAGAGCAAACAAUUUCAAUUUUUCUAGCAGCCUCAUCAAAAAGUAAGAAGACAAAGAUGAAAUGAAUUUCACUAAUGCGUUUCCUUCAAUCCAUUAUCUCUAAGAUGCUAUCUCCAUACGUAAUGGGUGUCAGCUGUAACUGGAACGUUUUGCAUUCUGUCUUUUGUUUUUUUUU